GAUGAAGAACGUAGCGAAAUGCGAUAAGUAAUGUGAAUUGCAGAAUUCAGUGAAUCAUCGAAUCUUUGAACGCACCUUGCGCCCUUUGGCUAUUCCGAAGGGCAUGCCUGUUUAAGUAUCAUGAACACCUCAACUCUCAUGGCUUGCCAUGACGAGCUUGGACUUUGGGGGUUUUGCUGGCCUUCGGUCGGCUCCUCUCAAACGGAUCAGCUUUCCAGUGUUUGGUGGCAUCACGGGUGUGAUAACUAUCUACGCCUGUGGUUUUCUGCCAGAUAACCUUCAGCGAUGGAGGUUCGCUGGGGCUCAUAAAUGUCUCUCUUCAGUGGAGACAGCUUUUUGGACGUUUGAUCUCAAAUCAGGUAGGACUACCCGCUGAACUUAAGCAUAUCAAUAAGCGGAGGA
Molecule: unclassified non-coding RNA, 402 nt
Filed under: soil metagenome
Description: partial contains 5.8S ribosomal RNA, internal transcribed spacer 2, and large subunit ribosomal RNA
Rfam family: 5.8S ribosomal RNA (bases 1-121)
Source: RNAcentral